This 18-nucleotide small nuclear RNA is filed under the name Arabidopsis thaliana (thale cress). Its description in RNAcentral is "snRNA_13629". Lineage: Eukaryota; Viridiplantae; Streptophyta; Magnoliopsida; Brassicales; Brassicaceae. The record is from RNAcentral.
UAAAACAAAGCAUUGCGA